RNAcentral lists this ribosomal RNA (275 nucleotides) under uncultured bacterium. RNAcentral's name for it is "partial 16S ribosomal RNA". It matches the Rfam family "Bacterial small subunit ribosomal RNA", at positions 338 to 630 of the family's 1533-position model. The record is from RNAcentral.
CCUACGGGAGGCUGCAGUGGGGAAUAUUGGACAAUGGGGGGAACCCUGAUCCAGCGAUGCCGCGUGAGUGAUGAAGGCCUUCGGGUUGUAAAGCUCUUUCACCUGAGAAGAUAAUGACGGUAUCAGGAGAAGAAGCACCGGCUAACUCUGUGCCAGCAGCCGCGGUAAUACAGAGGGUGCUAGCGUUGUUCGGAAUGACUGGGCGUAAAGGGCGCGUAGGCGGCCUAUUAAGUCAGGCGUGAAAUCCCCGGGCUCAACCUGGGAACGGCGUUUGA